This 371-nucleotide ribosomal RNA is filed under the name uncultured organism. Its description in RNAcentral is "bacterial SSU rRNA". It matches the Rfam family "Bacterial small subunit ribosomal RNA", at positions 526 to 896 of the family's 1533-position model. The record is from RNAcentral.
CAGAGGGUGCGAGCGUUAAUCGGAAUUACUGGGCGUAAAGCGCGCGUAGGCGGCUUUGCAAGUCGGGUGUGAAAUCCCCAGGCUUAACCUGGGAACUGCAUUCGAGACUGCAUUGCUAGAGUAUGGGUGAGGGAAGUGGAAUUUCCGGUGUAGCGGUGAAAUGCGUAGAUAUCGGAAGGAACAUCAGUGGCGAAAGCGACUUCCUGGACCAAUACUGACGCUCAUGUGCGAAAGCGUGGGGAGCAAACAGGAUUAGAUACCCUGGUAGUCCACGCCAUAAACGAUGAGAACUGGAUGUCGGGAGGGUCUGCCUCUCGGUGUCGUAGCUAACGCGUUAAGUUCUCCGCCUGGGGAGUACGGCCGCAAGGUUG